Molecule: non-coding RNA, 825 nt
Organism: Peromyscus maniculatus bairdii (prairie deer mouse)
Lineage: Eukaryota; Metazoa; Chordata; Mammalia; Rodentia; Cricetidae
Source: RefSeq, a predicted model, not a curated record
CCUGCCUGUUGAGAUGGUGGAUUUACUGACUGACUUUAACACCGAACCAGCUUUCACUCCGGGCAUGAACCCUAUUUGGCCGAUUGGAUGAUAAAUUGCCUGUAUCACUUAAGAAGCCCACAGGAUGCCCAGGUUAAACACUGCUUCUUGCUCUGUCUGUGAAGAUGUUCCCUGGGAACGCGCCCACUAAGAAGACAGAGUUCAUGUACACCAAAUCCUCUAGCAGAUUCAUGCAGGAGAGAGAGGACAUUCUUCUGACCUAUAAAAGAUGAAAAGACCGGAAGGACAGCUCAUGUUUUCCUUCGAUUUCCCCCAAAGACCUUUCUUGGUAGUUUCAACAGAUGAUGUCAGGGCAGCGUUAUGGCGAGCAUUGAGCUUUGGGAGCGACCGAGAGCCCUGCCCCAGCCUGUCUCUGCUGCCUCAGCUCUUGAGCGAUUCAACACCAGCCUCCCCGAGGAGUGAAGGGGCUCAGAGAAGCUGUGACAAAAUAUGGACACAGUCUCUGCUCAAAUGACAUCACUAGAGACAUGGCCAUCCCCGGACGCCUCCUCAGCAGACCUCUCACUCUUCCCUGCCCAGGACACCAACAGCGAUAAACUGACCAAAACUCACUCUGCUUGUCCUCUGGUGCUCCCCCGCCCCAACAACCUUAGUGACAGUGAUGUCCUCUCCAGGAGGAAAUCGAAAACAAACAUUUCGUUGGUUUAAAUUCUAAGCAUGCAAUUACUUUAGUUAAAAAAGAAAUCCUGUUUGUACAUUUGAUUUAGCAUAAUUUUUUCUUACUUUCUCCUUUAGAAAUAGGGUAAUUUGUGCUGGGUGGUGGUG